UACAGAGGGUGCGAGCGUUAAUCGGAAUUACUGGGCGUAAAGCGCGCGUAGGCGGCUUUGCAAGUCGGGUGUGAAAUCCCCAGGCUUAACCUGGGAACUGCAUUCGAGACUGCAUUGCUAGAGUAUGGGAGAGGGAAGUGGAAUUUCCGGUGUAGCGGUGAAAUGCGUAGAUAUCGGAAGGAACACCAGUAGCGAAGGCGACACUCUGGGCCGGUACUGACGCUGAGGAGCGAAAGCGUGGGGAGCAAACAGG
This 253-nucleotide ribosomal RNA is filed under the name uncultured bacterium. Its description in RNAcentral is "partial 16S ribosomal RNA". It matches the Rfam family "Bacterial small subunit ribosomal RNA", at positions 524 to 776 of the family's 1533-position model. The record is from RNAcentral.